AACGGUUCCGCCAGCGGCCUUGAAGGAGACGGUGGCCCCAUGUGCUGUGUUGAGGAUGUCCGUCAAACCGUGGGGAAGUAAGCUGAAGCAGGACACGUCUGGUCUGAAGCGACCCAUGGAAAGCUGAUAGAGAGGUGUCUGUGGAAAACGGCUCUGGUCUCCCUCACUGCCGCCUGAUGCCACCCUGCUGGCUUCCCCCCCAGUGUCUGGCGUCCUGCCGAGAGUGUUGGCCCUGCCACCCAUCUUGGGUGUCCACACUGAGGAAGCCCAGGACAGGACAGCUGUUUAGGGAGAGGGUGGACCAGGAGGCCUGCACUAAGACCUGGAGGGCAGAGUCUCCAGAGUGACCACCCUGUGUCCUGGAGCAGGGGUGGCUCCAGGAGGCCUGGGGACUGGGAUCCUGUUUAGUGAACUGAGUGUUUCCUGUGAGUGACCUGGAGAGAGAGGGGCAACGGGGUCAGGGGCAGCAUCUGGGGUCUGCAGGAGAGAAGUAGAGAUGGGCUGUGCUGUCCAAGGGAGCAGUCACCAGUAGGGAGCAUCAGGGUUUCAGAGUAAAGGUUUUAAAAGAGGCAGCCCCGUCAGGCGGUGCAGCUCUGGCGAGCGGCAGACUCGGGUGUUCCCAGUCAGUGGUGCCCAAGAGGCUGGGUGCUGGCGGGAAUGGAGAGAACUUCCGCAGCCUUCUCCUGCUCGCACCCCUGGGAUGGCCGGCUGUGGCCUGCUCUGGACGGGCUGGGUGACGUGGAGCUGAGGAUGUAGACUUGGGCCUCAGGUCUCAGGGUUGGUCCUGGGUGGCCAGGGGACAGAACCAGCAGACCAGUUUUCCUGAGGUUUGUUUCAUGAAAGGCAAAACAUUUGAAUCCCCUGUUCAGAUGGGGGGAGGGGAGAUGGGUUUGUGCAGAGGAAGGUCUGGG
RNAcentral lists this long non-coding RNA (911 nucleotides) under Marmota monax (woodchuck). The record is from RNAcentral. Lineage: Eukaryota; Metazoa; Chordata; Mammalia; Rodentia; Sciuridae.